Molecule: ribosomal RNA, 497 nt
Filed under: uncultured bacterium
Lineage: Bacteria
Description: partial 16S ribosomal RNA
Rfam family: Bacterial small subunit ribosomal RNA
Source: RNAcentral
GAUGAACGCUGGCGGCGUGCCUAAUACAUGCAAGUCGAGCGAACAGACGAGGAGCUUGCUCCUCUGACGUUAGCGGCGGACGGGUGAGUAACACGUGGAUAACCUACCUAUAAGACUGGGAUAACUUCGGGAAACCGGAGCUAAUACCGGAUAAUCUAUUGAACCGCAUGGUUCAUUAGUGAAAGACGGUUUUGCUGUCACUUAUAGAUGGAUCCGCUCCGCAUUAGCUAGUUGGUAAGGUAACGGCUUACCAAGGCAACGAUGCGUAGCCGACCUGAAAGGGGGAACGGCCACACUGGAACGGAGACACGGUCCAGACGCCUACGGGAGGCAGCAGUAGGGAAGCUUCCGCAAUGGGCGAAAGCCUGACGGAGCAACGCCGCGUGAGAGAAGAAGGUCUUCGGAUCGUAAAACUCUGUUAUUAGGGAAGAACAAAUGUGUAAGUAACUAUGCACGUCUUGACGGUACCUAAUAAGAAAGCCACGGCUAACUACGUG